RNAcentral lists this ribosomal RNA (446 nucleotides) under uncultured bacterium. RNAcentral describes it as "partial 16S ribosomal RNA". It matches the Rfam family "Bacterial small subunit ribosomal RNA", at positions 338 to 795 of the family's 1533-position model. The record is from RNAcentral.
CCUACGGGUGGCAGCAGUCGAGAAUCAUUCACAAUGGGGGAAACCCUGAUGGUGCGACGCCGCGUGGGGGAAUGAAGGUCUUCGGAUUGUAAACCCCUGUCAUGUGGGAGCAAAUUAAAAAGAUAGUACCACAAGAGGAAGAGACGGCUAACUCUGUGCCAGCAGCCGCGGUAAUACAGAGGUCUCAAGCGUUGUUCGGAAUCACUGGGCGUAAGGCGUGCGUAGGCUGUUUGGUAAGUCGUGUGUGAAAGGCGCGGGCUCAACCCGCGGACGGCACAUGAUACUGCGAGACUAGAGUAAUGGAGGGGGAACCGGAAUGCUCGGUGUAGCAGUGAAAUGCGUAGAUAUCGAGAGGAACACUCGUGGCGAAGGCGGGUUCCUGGACAUUAACUGACGCUGAGGCACGAAGGCCAGGGGAGCGAAAGGGAUUAGAUACCCCAGUAGUC